GAAUGUGAUCCAUUGGUGGUUGUUGGAGUUGACAGAACAGUUAAACAGAUGAUGAUUCCUUACGUGCCUAUGUUGGUGCCACCCAAAAAAUGGAGAGGGUAUGACAAAGGAGGAUACUUGUUCUUGCCUUCGUAUUUGAUGCGCACUCAUGGAUCUAGGAGGCAACAAGAUGCUGUACGAAGUGUUCCCGCGAAACAAAUGCAGCAAGUUUAUGAGGCCUUGGAUACCUUAGGAAGCACUAAAUGGAGAGUGAAUAAAAGGAUACUUAGUGUGGUUGAGACUAUUUGGGCUGGAGGAGGAAAUAUUGCUGGCCUAGUGGAUCGCAAAGAUGUAA
This 334-nucleotide unclassified non-coding RNA is filed under the name Hevea brasiliensis (rubber tree). Lineage: Eukaryota; Viridiplantae; Streptophyta; Magnoliopsida; Malpighiales; Euphorbiaceae. The record is from RNAcentral.